Microcebus murinus (gray mouse lemur) is the source of this 3165-nucleotide non-coding RNA. The record is from RefSeq and is a predicted model, not a curated record. NCBI's taxonomy places the organism in Eukaryota, Metazoa, Chordata, Mammalia, Primates, Cheirogaleidae.
GCCAGACCAAUCUGGAAUGAGAUGAGAAGCAGGACCUAAGGAUGGGAGCCCAAGGCAGAGUCAAGGUCAACUGAGGGGUACGGAACAAAGGACAACCAUCCCCGUUGGAGAGAGCUGAGACCACACAGCUGGGCAGCUAGUUUCCUCUGAAGGGGACUGCUGCACAGAAGCACGAGCUCUGAUGACUUCCUUCUUUAUUACUGCUGGCAACCGAGCUAAAAUAUGCGUAUAAGCAAAUGGAGAGGAUGGGAGGGUCAGAAGCCUCAGAAAACAUACUUUUCUUGGUCUCCCGGGAGAAGAGAGGGGGAGACCGCUGGAUCCCGAAGACUAAAGACACUGUGCACACACACAGCCCAAAAGCUGGAGGACGGAGGAAUUCAGAAUUGGCACCCGCUCAGCAAGUCUUUGGGAAGCCAACUGAUCCUUCAGUUCAUGAGUUUGGAGAAUCCCCUAUUAUGAAAUGAGCCCCGACAGAAUGACGAUAUUAUGCAACUCUAGGAGUCAGGCAUCCUGGUCAGGCCGGUGAAAUGCUUCUCUUUGUCCGUUGUGAUCAUGUUUGAUCUUUCCCAUAUUUCUUCCAUAUGGAAAGAAUUUUCCAACUUCAAUUCCUGCUCAGUAUAUAGACUUCACCUUAAAUUGACUGGAGCAAGCCUCCUUCCUCAUGGUGACCAGCUGGCUAUGGCUGGGGGCUCCAGCUCCGGCCUCCUCUCCUGCCACCUUCCCACUUGCUGGCAACGCUCCCACUGCACCAGCCUUCCUGCUGCUCCUCCGACUCGCCAAGCGUGUUCCAGCCCAAGGGACUCCGCACUUCCAUGUUUCCUCUGCUCGGUGUGCCGCCGACACCCACAUCUUCCCUCCAUUCAGGUCUCUGCUCAGAUGUCCCCCCUUAGAAGGGCCAGGCUGGCUGCAGAAUUUGCAGGGCCUAGUGCACAGUGAAAUGCAGGGCAAGACCCCUGUUCAAAAAGCAGAAGAAAGGGCCUUUUCCUUUUUUCUGUAGUCACUCUUGGUUCAUCAUGGUAUGUUAUUUGUCAUUUAAUCUCAUGCUCCGUUGGGCACAGAGAUUCAUAGAUGCUUCCACUCUGGGACUCGGCCCACAGGGUGUGUGCACCCCACCCUGACUCUCCCUGUGCCUGUGCCCAGACCCCCACUGGGGCUGAGGGCAGCAGCAGUUGCUUAAGGGGUGGGGGAGCGUGAAGCCAAGAACCCAAGGGAGGUGAGGCCGUGUAUGAGCUGAGGCUCCAGGCUCCUGACACAUGCUCCUUUGGCCCAUUGGACUUCAUUGUAAAUCACAAACUCAAACAAUGUUAACAUGGUGGCUGCAGAGCAUGAAGCCCCAAGCACAGGGCCACCUUCUGAGUGUGGUGGCUGGUGCAACUGCACUGGUCACACACUCACGAAGCUGGUCGUGCACAGGGGACUAUCUUGACCACUAUAUCCUCACAGAGUCUCUAUCCUCAUUCCCACCUUUUUCCAUUACGUGAAUGCACUUUAUUUUCCUAUGGCUCUUAUAACUACCUAAAAUGACAUCUGUGCAGUAUCUCUCUGUCCUAUUAGAAUGCAAGCUCCAUGAGGACGAGGACCUUGUCUGCCUCCCUCGUUGCUGUAUGCCAGGCAUGUACCAGAUGCUCAGUGAAUAGUUGCUGAAUGAGUGCUUGAAAAGAUGAAAAGUUCAGAGAAUCAAUGCAGGCAUUUGGCCUACUUUCAGUUAUACAUUGCAUCGCCUCAUAAAGCCAUUAUGCUUUCUCCAUAACGUUCACCGAGGCACUUUUUGCUGCACUUGAGCUAAAGAAGAAUUUUUAAAUGUUCAGUUCUAGAAUGUGUCACAUCUUUCUCAAGUCCUCAUUUUCAUCUUUCAAAAGAGAGAUUAAAAACUAAAGUCCUUGUCCAAGAAAGGAAAUAAUAACAAGGACAAUCAUAUUAUUUUCUGUUUAUUGAAACCCACAGCCAUUCAGCAGACAAGCCAAGAAGAAUAAUUCUCUCUCUCGCUCUCGUUUCAAGGCAUGGCCUUGCUCAUUUUUGCUUUCCCCAACACCAUAGCCAGGGCUUCAGGGUCAGGCUCAGGAACGCUCAGCCUGCUGGCAUCCAACCGUGGUGCCACAGCACAUUGCACAUCCGUCAUAGCACUUAGUCUACACGGGAUCAGAGCUUCCCAUUCAUGUCUGUGGCUUCUAUCUCUAGUGGGGGCAUCUGGGGAGAGAGAGCACAGCUACCUCCAACCUCCCAGUGCACCCCCUUCUUCACUUAGCUAACGCUUAUUACCCUUUGGUUCUCACCUUAAACAUCACGUCCCCAGGGACGCCUUCCUCAAGUGCCCAGACCAUACUUUCUCAUAGCACCUACACAGCUCCAUCAAUUUCCACAAUUUCAAUGCGUUACUAAAUUGCGUGAUGAUUUGUUUAAUAGCUGUCUCCCUUACAGGCUUUAAGCUCUAUGAGGGAAGGGAUUGCCUCACUCAGAACCUCACCUGCUACCUGACAAAGGGUGAGCACUCAACAGAUACCCGACCAACAAACGUGUACCCCUAGUGCCUAGUGGUGCUGUUUGCCAGAAGCUGAACAGGUGUCUGUGGAAUUAUAUUGGAAAAGUCUUUUUAAUUUCACCAAUUAUGAACUGCUGAGAAUGAGUCCUUUUUCCUUGUUAUCAAAAUAAAAGGCAAGUUGGAUCAUUAAACCAUUUCCCAAAGAAUGGUCCUUCCUAACUGGCUAUUAAACCAUCUGGAGGUAAUAAACGAGCAACUUCAUGGAAACCUACGAAGCUCAAGGAUAGACUCAGAUGAGGACAUUUCUCUCUCUCUCUCUCUCUCUCUCUCUCUCUCGUUUUAUUACACUAGUCCACUAAUGUCAGUGCCAAAUCUUUCUCCUAUUCUUACCAUCAUAUACCCUCCUGUCUCUGCUUCCAGGCACGGCCCGUUGUGUACUGCAUUCAAACCUAUUAUCUAUGGCCAAGCUUUGUGUCCCUUAAAAUCAUUAUGUUCUGGCUUUUGGAGCCAUUUGAUACUAAAAGUAAUUAUAGGCGGACUUUCAAACAAAAACCUAAUUCCUUUAUGGUUCCUCCUACCAUAAUAAAGACUCCAGAGGUAAGGAUUCAAAUGAGACUGAAGGUUGCAAAUUGUAUUUCGAGGGAGGAUAAAUCAUUCUUUGUCAAGGCAGUGGAGCUCUUCCUCUC